GUUUGGAAUUCGAAUCAACAACAGUGUAUGUAGCUAACUCGGAUCCUUCACCGAUUAGAUUAAUCAACAGACCGAAAACAAUCAAUUGAUUCAUAAUCAAUUACUGAUGGGAUGAAAUACGACUAGGAUUGGCUCUGAUAUCCAAUGUUAGAUAAUUCAAUUCAAUCAUAAACAAUAGAUUACGAAUUGAAACCCUAAUCAAUACAAGAUCACCGAUUAAUUCAAAUGCGGAAAACUAAAUAAACCUGCAGAUGAAGCCAUCUGAUUCCCUUCUUUUCUUUCCUUCAAUUCCAUCUUCUUUCGUUCAUCUCCGGCGAAAUUAGAUCGCCGAUGAUCUGUUCUGAAUCUCCGACCUUCGGGUCUCCAACGGCACUACCCUGGAAUCGCCACACGAAACCCUUCCAGCGCGUCUCUGACCGGGAGAGAUUGAUUUCGAAUUUCUGGUU
RNAcentral lists this long non-coding RNA (446 nucleotides) under Oryza brachyantha (malo sina). RNAcentral's name for it is "long non-coding RNA (OBRA_LNC000277)". Lineage: Eukaryota; Viridiplantae; Streptophyta; Magnoliopsida; Poales; Poaceae. The record is from RNAcentral.